RNAcentral lists this long non-coding RNA (1030 nucleotides) under Nicotiana benthamiana. RNAcentral describes it as "long non-coding RNA (NBEN_LNC037256)". The record is from RNAcentral. Lineage: Eukaryota; Viridiplantae; Streptophyta; Magnoliopsida; Solanales; Solanaceae.
AACAGUUACAUCCUGCAUAUCUAACAUCUCUUCUUCUCCAAAGUAUGCUGGAUUUUCUGGAAGGCUUCUCUUCUUCAGGUUUUCCGUGCAUAGGUAUACGUAGGGUACGUCGUCUGUUUCUUGAGUCACGCCCUCCUCACUGUAUAUAGGUGUUGCACUCAUCUCAAACACCUUCCACGAUCCAGCCAGCUCUGAUGGUUGGAGUCUUCGUCUUUGAGAGAAAAGCUUCAUCCUCCUCACUGUAUAUAGGUGUUGCGCUCAUCUCAAACACCUUCCACGAUCCAGCCAGCUCUGAUGGUUGGAGUCUUCGUCUUUGAGAGAAAAGCUUCACGUCCAGCUCCGUGUCGCUAUAAUAUUUAUAGCCAAGACAUUAGAAAAAUAAUUAGAAAUUUAAAACUACCUUCAUUUUAUUUUAUGUAAAGAUGUUUGACUCAGCACGGAGUUUAAGAAAGAUAAGACUUUUGUUACAUAUGGUCUUAAACAUUCUAUAACAUUUCUGCGGCUAUAUAAUCAUGCAUUAAGGCCAAAAUGGAAAGUUUAAAGUUAAAUCAUUUCUAAAUAUAAAAAGGUAUCAUUCUUUAUGGAACAGAAUAAACAAGAAAAAGUGUCACAUAAACCGGUAUAGAAGGAAUAGCAUUCAACAGGCAGAACAUUGUGUCAAAUCAGGCUUUAUCUCCACAGUCAUUAAAUAAACUGCUCUUUUAUAAAUUGUCAAGAGAGCAAUAAGAAAAUAAAGGGGAGGGGUGGGGUAGCACUCCUUUCAAAAACUUCGUUCAUGGCAAGAGAAUUUAUAUUAGAGAGAGAGAGAACACUUGCUCUGCAUGGGGGAAAAUAUGACACUAAAGUGGUAGUACUCCCAAGAAAACCAUCUCUUGGUGAUAACCGCUGGUGGUCAAUACUAAAGCUUCCUAAGAUGUAUUAACCAAUAUAUGUGUGCACAUCUCCAAUCUGAAGUUACACAGACACAAAUGUCUUCACUUCACAGUUGAAAGGAAACACAGGAAGGAAGCUAUAUGAAGAAUAAGGUUAC